This is a non-coding RNA of Acanthosepion pharaonis, 113 nucleotides long. The record is from the annotation of a GenBank genome assembly. Lineage: Eukaryota; Metazoa; Mollusca; Cephalopoda; Sepiida; Sepiidae.
UACAACCAUAUCAUGUUGGAACAUUGGUUCCCGUACGAUUACCGAAGUUAAGCAACGCCGAGCCUGGUCAGUAUCUAGAUGGGUGACCACUUGGGAAUACAAUGUGCUGUAAG